GAUGAACGCUGGCGGCGUGCCUAAUACAUGCAAGUCGAGCGAACAGACGAGGAGCUUGCUCCUCUGACGUUAGCGGCGGACGGGUGAGUAACACGUGGAUAACCUACCUAUAAGACUGGGAUAACUUCGGGAAACCGGAGCUAAUACCGGAUAAUAUAUUGAACCGCAUGGUUCAAUAGUGAAAGACGGUUUUGCUGUCACUUAUAGAUGGAUCCGCGCCGCAUUAGCCAGUUGGUAAGGUAACGGCCUACCAAGGCAACGAUGCGUAGCCGACCUGAGAGGGUGAUCGGCCACACUGGAACUGAGACACGGUCCAGACUCCUACGGGAGGCAGCAGUAGGGAAUCUUCCGCAAUGGGCGAAAGCCUGACGGAGCAACGCCGCGUGAGUGAUGAAGGUCUUCGGAUCGUAAAACUCUGUUAUUAGGGAAGAACAAAUGUGUAAGUAACUAUGCACGUCUUGACGGUACCUAAUCAGAAAGCCACGGCUAACUACGUG
Molecule: ribosomal RNA, 497 nt
Filed under: uncultured bacterium
Lineage: Bacteria
Description: partial 16S ribosomal RNA
Rfam family: Bacterial small subunit ribosomal RNA
Source: RNAcentral